This 1109-nucleotide long non-coding RNA is filed under the name Equus asinus (donkey). Its description in RNAcentral is "lncRNA (ENSEASG00005029166.1)". The record is from RNAcentral. Lineage: Eukaryota; Metazoa; Chordata; Mammalia; Perissodactyla; Equidae.
CGCGCUCUGCGAGGGCUCGUGCUGGGGGAGCGCUCCUGGCUCGGAGCAGAGUAGACUCUGGCCACACAGCCCCUCCUGGGAAGCUUGGGGCCGCACCAACAGGCUUGGUGCCCUCAGCUGGGAAGAACUCCGCUGAAGGGUGGAGGGCUGCGCUGCUGCUGCUGCGGAGAUCUUGGCCGAACAAGGCCGGGACCCCUGGGUGCGGCUGAGGAGCCGUCAGGAGGCGCUCUGCCUGGCCCCAGCCCGGCCUCCAGGGGACUCUCCCUGGGGACCCAGGAGGCCUGGCUCACGUUUCUUAUUUAUAUAGAAGACAUUUCGCUCCUUUUGUACAUUUUUAAUGGGCCAGCAGGGAAGCCUCAAUGCAGCCAAGUCAGUGAGCCCACGUGGGCUGUGAGGACGAGCCUGGGACCUCUGGAGAGGGAGGGGAUUUGAGGCAAAGAUGGACAAGAAUCCGCCGUCAAAGCUUCUAUCUUUCUUUGAAUUACAUACGCUUCCCACAGGGCUGUGGGUGCUGUGCAGGAGCCAGUGGGGACACAGGAGGCAAAUGAAACUUUGAGCAGCCAUCUCGGACCCUGACUACAGGCGAAAGAGGAGAGUGAAGGGCAUAUACAGAGGCUGACACGGGGCACCCUCCUCUGUCACCCUUCACCUACUCAUGAUGAGGGUGGAGGCCAACCCCGCCUGUGAGCUCCUGCUGCAAUCCAGCUCCGCCAAAUGCCUUCUCUGAAAGAGAUCGUUUUAGUCUUUACAGUUCGACUGUAAACUUCUGGGAGUGAAGACCAUAACUUGUUGCCCCCGCCACUUGUUUUCCAAGAAACUCACUUGUGAAAUGUGUCCAGAUGGGUGGACGUGUACUCUGUUUUAAGCCUGUCCAUGUGUAUAUUUGAUACGCAGAUCAAAUAAUGAGUGCUGCCUCGGCCAUUGGCCACCUGAUUGGCUGUGGGACAAAUGGAUCCAAUUAAUAUCUGUAGAGAUUCACAAAGGCCUGCUAUUAAUAAAUUGUAGUGUUUCCAGGUGAGUGUUGUUCAACAUGUCCUGUGUAUCCCCCACUGUUUUCAUAAAAAUGUGUGCUAAAUGUCUUUUAAAAUUCUGUGGCAUAGUGACUCAAC